Molecule: ribosomal RNA, 628 nt
Filed under: Serratia marcescens
Lineage: Bacteria; Pseudomonadati; Pseudomonadota; Gammaproteobacteria; Enterobacterales; Yersiniaceae
Description: bacterial SSU rRNA
Rfam family: Bacterial small subunit ribosomal RNA
Source: RNAcentral
GCAGCAGGGAGCGGUAAUACGGAAGGGUGCUAGCGUUAAUCGGAAUUACUGGGCGUAAAGCGCACGCAGGCGGUUUGUUAAGUCAGAUGUGAAAUCCCCGGGCUCAACCUGGGAACUGCAUUUGAAACUGGCAAGCUAGAGUCUCGUAGAGGGGGUAGAAUUCCAGGUGUAGCGGUGAAAUGCGUAGAGAUCUGGAGGAAUACCGGUGGCGAAGGCGGCCCCCUGGACGAAGACUGACGCUCAGGUGCGAAAGCGUGGGGAGCAAACAGGAUUAGAUCCCUGGUAGUCCACGCUGUAAACGAUGUCGAUUUGGGGGUUGUGCCCUUGAGGCGUGGCUUCCGGAGCUAACGCGUUAAAUCGACCGCCUGGGGAGUACGGCCGCAAGGUUAAAACUCAAAUGAAUUGACGGGGGCCCGCACAAGCGGUGGAGCAUGUGGUUUAAUUCGAUGCAACGCGAAGAACCUUACCUACUCUUGACAUCCAGAGAACUUAGCAGAGAUGGAUUGGUGCCUUCGGGAACUCUGAGACAGGUGCUGCAUGGCUGUCGUCAGCUCGUGUUGUGAAAUGUUGGGUUAAGUCCCGCAACGAGCGCAACCCUUAUCCUUGUUGCCAGCGGUUCGGCCGGGAA